GAUGAACGCUGGCGGCGUGCCUAAUACAUGCAGGUCGAGCGAACAGACGAGGAGCUUGCUCCUCUGACGUUAGCGGCGGACGGGUGAGUAACACGUGGAUAACCUACCUAUAAGACUGGGAUAACUUCGGGAAACCGGAGCUAAUACCGGAUAAUAUAUUGAACCGCAUGGUUCAAUAGUGAAAGACGGUUUUGCUGUCACUUAUAGAUGGAUCCGCGCCGCAUUAGCUAGUUGGUAAGGUAACGGCUUACCAAGGCAACGAUGCGUAGCCGACCUGAGAGGGUGAUCGGCCACACUGGAACUGAGACACGGUCCAGACUCCUACGGGAGGCAGCAGUAGGGAAUCUUCCGCAAUGGGCGAAAGCCUGACGGAGCAACGCCGCGUGAGUGAUGAAGGUCUUCGGAUCGUAAAACUCUGUUAUUAGGGAAGAACAAAUGUGUAAGUAGCUAUGCACGUCUUGACGGUACCUAAUCAGAAAGCCACGGCUAACUACGUG
This 497-nucleotide ribosomal RNA is filed under the name uncultured bacterium. RNAcentral describes it as "partial 16S ribosomal RNA". It matches the Rfam family "Bacterial small subunit ribosomal RNA", at positions 28 to 507 of the family's 1533-position model. The record is from RNAcentral.